RNAcentral lists this ribosomal RNA (496 nucleotides) under uncultured bacterium. Its description in RNAcentral is "partial 16S ribosomal RNA". It matches the Rfam family "Bacterial small subunit ribosomal RNA", at positions 28 to 506 of the family's 1533-position model. The record is from RNAcentral.
GAUGAACGCUGGCGGCGUGCCUAAUACAUGCAAGUCGAGCGAACGGACGAGAAGCUUGCUUUUCUGAUGUUAGCGGCGGACGGGUGAGUAACACGUGGAUAACCUACCUAUAAGACUGGGAUAACUUCGGGAAACCGGAGCUAAUACCGGAUAAUAUUUUGAACCGCAUGGUUCAAAAGUGAAAGACGGUCUUGCUGUCACUUAUAGAUGGAUCCGCGCUGCAUUAGCUAGUUGGUAAGGUAACGGCUUACCAAGGCAACGAUGCAUAGCCGACCUGAGAGGGUGAUCGGCCACACUGGAACUGAGACACGGUCCAGACUCCUACGGGAGGCAGCAGUAGGGAAUCUUCCGCAAUGGGCGAAAGCCUGACGGAGCAACGCCGCGUGAGUGAUGAAGGUCUUCGGAUCGUAAAACUCUGUUAUUAGGGAAGAACACAUGUGUAAGUAACUGUGCACAUCUUGACGGGACCUAAUCAGAAAGCCACGGCUAACUACGU